RNAcentral lists this ribosomal RNA (119 nucleotides) under Lepisosteus oculatus (spotted gar). The record is from RNAcentral. Lineage: Eukaryota; Metazoa; Chordata; Actinopteri; Semionotiformes; Lepisosteidae.
GCCAGCAGCCAUGUCACCCUGCAACUUACAACUGGCAGCCCACUGAAGCUCAGCAGGUGUGAGCCUGGUCAGUACCUGGAUGGGAGACCUCCUGGGAAAAACUAAGGUUGCUGCUGGAA